Molecule: unclassified non-coding RNA, 261 nt
Filed under: fungal sp.
Lineage: Eukaryota; Fungi
Description: partial internal transcribed spacer region
Rfam family: Eukaryotic small subunit ribosomal RNA (bases 1-46)
Source: RNAcentral
AAGUCGUAACAAGGUUUCCGUAGGUGAACCUGCGGAAGGAUCAUUACCAAUCCAAAAAAAAACUUUAUAUCAACCCUUAUGUGCACUGAGAAUGGUUCCGUUCCCUGCCUGACCUUUUCCUACGGGGUUUGGUUGGUGGGGAAUGUAUUUUUUUUCACAACACCUUUUCAACCCAUAUACCCCACAUUUUAUUCAUGCUGAAAGCAAAACAAAAAAAAACGAAACAUUAGACAACUUUUAACGGUGGAUCUCUUGGCUCGU